This 906-nucleotide ribosomal RNA is filed under the name Triticum aestivum (bread wheat). Its description in RNAcentral is "partial small subunit ribosomal RNA". The record is from RNAcentral. Lineage: Eukaryota; Viridiplantae; Streptophyta; Magnoliopsida; Poales; Poaceae.
AUGGUUCGGUCAUGGCUUCCGCCUCCUUCCUCCGACCACCAGCAGCAGCUCCCCCUGCACACCCUCACCUUCGCCAUCAAGGAGAUCUUCGACGUCGUCAUCCGCGUCACUGGGUUCGGCACCCCGGACUGGGCCCGGACGCACGCACCAGGUGCCGCCAUGACUCCCGCCGUGCUGGCCGCGCUCGCCGCCGGUGCAGGCGUGGGCAAGACCAUGAUGGACGAGAUGGCCUACAGCAUCAACGGCGAGAAUGCGCACUACGGCACUCCCUCCAACCCCUGCGCUCCCCGCAUCCCCAGCGGCUCCUCCAGUGGCUCGGCCGCCGCCGUCGCUGCCAGUCUCACCGACUUCGCCGGUACCGACAGCUGCGGCAGCGUCAGGGUGCCCGCCGCCUACUGCGGCAUCUUCGGCCUCUACCCUUCACAUGGACUGGUCUCCACGCAGAUGUUCAAAACCCGUCUGAUGGUGUUUUUUCUUACAAGGUGGUUUGCCAGAGAUCUAGCUACACUGUCCUGUGUCACCGACGUGCUGAUGCCGCCUCUACGAAGACCGCACCUACGACGACCGAGCCAUGUCAUCAUUCCUGCAGACUAUUUAAAAAUCUUGGGCUCCAUGGAAGACCGCACCUACGAAAUCCUCAACGCUUCAGCGGCCAAGGUAUUCGGAAAUGAUACAGUGGUGAACAAUGGCAACAUUGGUGAUUUCGUCUCUAGCAACGUUCCGAGCAUCGGCAAGUUCAUGACCGACUUGUCUGCGGUCGAAGCAUCAUCAUCUUGUGUGCCCUCUCUGUCUGCCAUCUCACGUGUCAUGCGUGUCCUUCAAUGGUCUGAAUUCAAAACAAACCACGCGGAGUGGGUGAACAUAGUCAAGCCCAACCUCGGCCCUGGCAUCCGAGAACGAGUGUAG